UACGUAUGGUGCAAGCGUUAUCCGGAUUUACUGGGUGUAAAGGGAGCGUAGACGGAGAAGCAAGUUAGUUGUGAAAUCCCUCGGCUUAACUGAGGAACUGCAACUAAAACUACUUCCCUUGAGUACUGGAGAGGAAAGUGGAAUUCCUAGUGUAGCGGUGAAAUGCGUAGAUAUUGGGAGGAACACCAGUGGCGAAGGCGACUUUCUGGACAGUAACUGACGUUGAGGCACGAAAGUGUGGGGAGCAAACAGG
RNAcentral lists this ribosomal RNA (253 nucleotides) under uncultured bacterium. RNAcentral's name for it is "partial 16S ribosomal RNA". It matches the Rfam family "Bacterial small subunit ribosomal RNA", at positions 524 to 776 of the family's 1533-position model. The record is from RNAcentral.